CCUCUCGCCAUCAGAUGUGCCCAGAUGGGAUUAGCUAGUAGGUGAGGUAAUGGCUCACCUAGGCGACGAUCCCUAGCUGGUCUGAGAGGAUGACCAGCCACACUGGAACUGAGACACGGUCCAGACUCCUACGGGAGGCAGCAGUGGGGAAUAUUGCACAAUGGGCGCAAGCCUGAUGCAGCCAUGCCGCGUGUGUGAAGAAGGCCUUCGGGUUGUAAAGCACUUUCAGCGGGGAGGAAGGCGACAAGGUUAAUAACCUUGUCGAUUGACGUUACCCGCAGAAGAAGCACCGGCUAACUCCGUGCCAGCAGCCGCGGUAAUACGGAGGGUGCAAGCGUUAAUCGGAAUGACUGGGCGUAAAGCGCACGCAGGCGGUCUGUUAAGUUGGAUGUGAAAUCCCCGGGCUUAACCUGGGAACUGCAUUCAAAACUGACAGGCUAGAGUCUUGUAGAGGGGGGUAGAAUUCCAGGUGUAGCGGUGAAAUGCGUAGAGAUCUGGAGGAAUACCGGUGGCGAAGGCGGCCCCCUGGACAAAGACUGACGCUCAGGUGCGAAAGCGUGGGGAGCAAACAGGAUUAGAUACCCUGGUAGUCCACGCUGUAAACGAUGUCGACUUGGAGGUUGUGCCCUUGAGGCGUGGCUUCCGGAGCUAACGCGUUAAGUCGACCGCCUGGGGAGUACGGCCGCAAGGUUAAAACUCAAAUGAAUUGACGGGGGCCCGCACAAGCGGUGGAGCAUGUGGUUUAAUUCGAUGCAACGCGAAGAACCUUACCUACUCUUGACAUCCAGAGAAUUUGCUAGAGAUACCUUAGUGCCUUCGGGAACUGUGAGACAGGUGCUGCAUGGCUGUCGUCAGCUCGUGUUGUGAAAUGUUGGGUUAA
RNAcentral lists this ribosomal RNA (880 nucleotides) under Pectobacterium carotovorum subsp. carotovorum. Its description in RNAcentral is "bacterial SSU rRNA". It matches the Rfam family "Bacterial small subunit ribosomal RNA", at positions 211 to 1083 of the family's 1533-position model. Lineage: Bacteria; Pseudomonadati; Pseudomonadota; Gammaproteobacteria; Enterobacterales; Pectobacteriaceae. The record is from RNAcentral.